Molecule: long non-coding RNA, 644 nt
Filed under: Heterocephalus glaber (naked mole-rat)
Lineage: Eukaryota; Metazoa; Chordata; Mammalia; Rodentia; Bathyergidae
Description: lncRNA (ENSHGLG00000035901.1)
Source: RNAcentral
CUUGGAGUCAAAGCUAAAAUCUUUCCUCUGUCUUGCAAGUCCCUGCACAAACAGCACCCACCCCUCUCCCCAGUUCCACCUCAUCUUCUAAAAGGAGGACCCUUGUCCACACAGCCAUAGCCAUUCUGGCCUUGUUCUUCCACAGAGAAACCAGGCAAAAACCUACCUACCCCAGGACCUUUGCACUGACUUUCCUGUGCCGGGAGCACCUUUCACUCAGAUCCACUUGGCCAAAUCCAGCUGUCUUCAAAUCUUCACUCAAAUGGUCCUGCUCAGGAUCCUGGAGCUUGUGGUUUUCCUCUGGUAUGGGUACAGAUUGAGUCUCUCAGGUGUGUCAGCUCCUGUGCAACUGGGAACCUGUGGAUUUAAAAGAUAAAACAGUGAAGGAAAAGGAACCAGAGGACACAGCUCCCAUGCACAUCCCAAAAGUGGAGAGGAGAGGCAAAAGGUAGGCACUGCUCAUGGCAGUUCUGAAACCGAGGCACGCACCUGUCAUCAACCCUCUCUGCUCCUGAGUCAGGGAACAUUCCUCACUUGGACCUGGCUCUGCUCCUUGAGACUAUCUCUCCAGUCAGUUGUUUUGGUUGGCUUUUAAAUUCACCUUUAAGCUCCUGACUCUCUCCAUUGAGUUCUUUCUUCUUCCC